RNAcentral lists this ribosomal RNA (54 nucleotides) under Blumeria graminicola. Its description in RNAcentral is "partial 28S ribosomal RNA". Lineage: Eukaryota; Fungi; Ascomycota; Leotiomycetes; Helotiales; Erysiphaceae. The record is from RNAcentral.
UUGACCUCGAAUCAGGUAGGGAUACCCGCUGAACUUAAGCAUAUCACUAAGCGG